RNAcentral lists this long non-coding RNA (659 nucleotides) under Gallus gallus (chicken). Lineage: Eukaryota; Metazoa; Chordata; Aves; Galliformes; Phasianidae. The record is from RNAcentral.
GUGCAGGUCUGGCUGCAGGUGCCAUACACGGUGCAUUCAUCGAAGUCUUUGCAGCUCCUCCUGUCCUCGGCCAGCUGGAAGGAGUUGUUGCAGUAGCAGGCAGGGCCGCUCAGCGUGGGCACGCAGUGGUGCUGGCAGCCCAACGCCGUGCAGUUGGCCAAUUGCUCCCUGCAGUGCGGCCCCUCAUCCGAGCCAUCGAAGCAGUCGUGGAGCCCAUUGCACAGUUUGCUCAUGUGGAUGCACAGCUCGGUGCCCAGGCAGUUGUGCUCGUUGGGUUGGCACCGCGACACUUUGCUCUGAGGGCAUAUAUCGGGCGAUUCGUCCGAGCCAUCGGGACAAUCCUUUUCCCCGUCACAGCGCCAGCCCUUAGAUAUGCACGUAAUCUGAUCUUUGCAUGCAAACUGUUUGGGGCUACAAGUCUUCGGUGCUUCGAGGGCGCGGGCGGCGGGCGCGGCCAGCAGGGCCAGCAGGCACCCGGCCAGGGCCAGCAGCGGCCCCAUGCCGGCGGCGCGGCCCGGCUCGGCUCGGCUCGGUACGGAUCCGCUCGGCUCGGCUCGGCCCGGUUCGGCCCCGCUCCUCACGCCGUUCUGCCCGCGGGUCGGCGCGUCCCGCGCCCGCGCACCGACAUCCGCGGAGGGAGGGGGGGGGGGCGGGAGGGG